CAAGCUCUGAGUACCCCACAGCUAUGGACAAAUCCCAGUACUUUGUCCCAGCCGUGGUCACUGUGUAGCUUUGGGGCAGGCAGGGUACAGCGCUGUUUGGGCCUGUGAGGCUGACAUGCUGGGCCUGCUGCCCUUCCUGAGGGAUGAUGCCAGUCUCUGCUGGCUGUUAAACCAGUGCCAUUUUCCCUGGGCCAAGGAACUGCCCAUGGACAAGAAAAUGCUUCCUCUUUUGCAGCAUAGCCCACGUACAUCUAGACAGUAGGUGACCACCAGAUACUGGCAUGUAGGCCCCAUUUGAAGGGCUGCUGACAGUCCUGGGGAGUCUCCUGUCAGCUUCGCUGGGAAGCAGAUCAAGCCCCUGCACGUUUCUUUCUUCCUUUCUUAACAGUUUUGCUGUUUGGACAUCAGCUGAAUUAUUCGCACCUUUCACAUUCAGUUAAAUACCACAAAAUGCUAGUGCAGGACUUUUCUCAUAACCGGUUAGAAACCGUGAUAGAAAACACAACCCUGCCGCAUCAGAGAUGUUCUCCAUAUACCACACUGGAUUUGCAUCUAGGUUUCCUUGUUGCUAGCCAGUGCCAUCUGUUAUCUGUUUUGUUCUGCUUGUGAAAAAUAGUAAUUUCUGAAAAUUUAGAGACAGGAAUGAACAAUGGCUUUUUCCUUUGUAUUUUAUGUCCCAAAGAAACCAACUGUAUCUACAUAUGCACACAAAAAUAUACCCCUUCACUUGGCAGUACGCUAGCAUAUGCUUCUUCUAUAUGGAAAAUUUAAAGAGACAAGGCCCGUCAAGGGGAAAUAUUUGAACGUAAUGAAAUAAAUCUGCGCCCCACAAUGCUUGGAUACUCAGUUCUGCUUUUGUCUCCCUUGGAGAGUGCUGACGCUCAGACUUGGUGACAGAUUAAGCAGUGACAGCUGAGAUAGUUCCUGCCCUCAGCUGUGUGCUCUGCCCCUUGCUUGGAAAUUACUGCCCUCCCACUGCCAACACAACUGAACGCUUUGUGGAUUUCAGACUGCCAGACUUCACGUGAACCUUGUCUCACGACAUUUUGCCAGCCUGUAAACUCCUGUGGUUAGCAGGCGAAGCACUGAGCUGUGCCGACCGCACAGGUGGAAAAGGCUGAGAAAGCAAGGGGGGCCCAGGCCGGGCAGCAGCAGCAGCCCACGCAGAGCUCCCAUCUAUUUAUGGAAAUACAGAAGUGUUGAGCUUGGGGGACCCAUUGUCACCGACUACCCCCUGAGCAAAGAAAUGGGAAAAUCUCAAGUGACAAAGAGAGAACACAUCUUCAGCCUUUUCUCGGGGCUUUUGGUUUUUUGGUUGAUUAAUUUAUAUUUUUUCUUUUGAAACUGUGCUUCAGGGACACUAUGAAAAUAUGCUCAGCACUGACUAAACUCUGUUCCUUUGAGGUCUAUUGCAUAUUUUUAUUUUUCUAAGAAAAGAAAUUGUAGUUAGCAUGGUAAUUUUGAACUCCUCUUAGUUAUAGAUGCUAAAUUUCAGUCCCAUGUUUGAGGAUGCUGUCUGUUUCACAGUUCUCAACUACAGCAGGCUAUGAACCACCAUCAGGUAAUUUAACAGAGUCUGCCAUUUUAGCCCUUCACCUAGCCUGUUCCUUAUAUUUCUGCUGUUUUUCUCUUCCAAGAUGUGUGAUCUGGAUGCACAGGGUCUGCCCGUCUCCUUCUUUUCAGUGACAAGCCAAUUUCUGCAAAGGACCAAUUUAUCAGCUAUUAAUAUGCAGACAUUCUUCCCUCCUCAGUCCUCCUCCCAAGCAGCAGAGCAUGUAUACAUUCAAGAGAGAAAAAUGGGGCAUGUCAUAGAAAUGCAUUCUGGUCUGGAUAAUUGUAAAUAUUGAAUCCUGAACUAUUAAAAUGGUUCUUGCUUAAGAUUAAAGGAAAAAUCUUGAUAGUCAAUCUGCAAAUAAUUGUAUGCUGCUUAACUGGCACUUCAGUAGUUUUCUUUUGUGAUAUAUCUGAAGGAAGAGAUGGAUGCACUGUCAGAAUUAAAAGUUCUCUCGGUACUUGUCCAUAUGUUUUUGCUUUGGUCCCCAGACUGUUAUACUGCUGAACAGAGGGUAGAGACUGAUGUAACAGAACUUAGUAUACAACACAACCUCUAGGGAAGGUGGGAAAAAAAGUGAAUCUCUCCAAGGUUCCGUAGUACCAAAGAUCUGUCUUGGACUUAGAUUCAGCCAAGUUUUGCAACACCAUGUCCUGGCUGUAAUGCCUAAUGAACCAGAGGCUCAUUAACACGAGCUACAGGGGAUGUACAUCCAUCAGUAUUUCCACAGCAAAGACGGUGAGAAACUGGAGCUCAUAUAUCUUUAUACACCAGGCUUCAGCAGGGAAGCACAUAUUCCACUCAAGAUCAGUUGGGAAGGGUUGGAUGCUGUAGGUUUGCAAAAAGGCUCAUCAUGGCCUUCAAGAUCAAAAGGGUCUCAGGCCUACCAGUAUUUCAGGAUGCCGCAAGCGUAGUCAAGAUAAGCAUUAUAAACUGUUACAGUUUUCUUCCAGUAUCUCUAGUGGCCAUGGAUCGUAUCCAACUAACAUUCCCAAAACACAGUUUACACCACAUGUGUUUAUUAUCAUAGCAGCUGUUGAAGCCCCUGGGUGGUUGGGCCAUGGAAAACCUCCUAACCCUGUGAGCACAGCAAUUUGGCAAGGGCCAGCUCAGAUACCACCAAACAUGGGAGAGCUGUGGGGCAAGGAACAAGACCAACAUCCAGCUUCUGAAAAAGCCUUUCCACCAUAAAACUGACAGUACUCUGGCAGGCUCUUCUGCUGUGUAAAUCCUUACCAGCCCAAAAAGGAAAUGAGCAACAUUCAAGGCACUGAAUCCAAAAAAGCUCAGUUCUGCAGAACCAAGACUGAAAAUGAAUAAAUGCUAGAAACUCUAUGAAAUCCACCAAGGACUUUGCUAUUGAUUUUGCAGUGCAGAUGGUCAGACAUUAGGGCAAUGUGGUAAUGUGAAACCUGUUGGUACAUUCAUGGUGGAUGAUUCAGACAGAGCAUUUUGGAUUAACUUCAUGGAAUACCACUUCUGACAGCUGAAAACCAGCACUCAAAAGCAUCAGAUCAGGAGGAUGUGGCCCUGACUCUGUCUCCACAGAGACUUGAAAAUCCACUGGCAAAGCUUUAACUUCUUUAAAAAACAAUAGCAGAUAAUGCUUUAAAAUAGUCUUUGUUUAUCUUUUAUUCUUUUGUUUCUAAUGAGCUCUUUAUGAAUUUGAAAAUAACUUCCUCUCCACUUUUGUUCUGAUUUCCAUGGUGGGAAAAAACAGAAAGAUCUGAGCUACAUCAAGUCAAAAGAAAUGCAUGCAACAUUAUCAUGGCUCAGGAAGCAGCGUUUGAUCACUGAGCAUUGCCACAGAGCCAGCAGGAGCUGGGCACACCAGCCUUAUGGGAGCUCUGCCAUUGACUGCAUGGGCCCAGAAACUCAAGUUUGUGUUUUGUAGAAUUGGAUGAGCUAUAAAUCAAAUAAUAGAACAACAAGUUCCUUGGCCUCCAAAUAAUACUUGGAUGCCCUGCUGUGUGAACACAGGUUCUUAGCUUUCCGGGAAAAGUACGGCCAAGUACUUUGCCCACACAGUGACCACAAAGGCAGAACAAUAAUAUCUACAGAGGAGGAUAGUCAUAUAUAUCAUAUGUUUUCCAAUGAGAUAAAUCUCUGUUAAGGAUUAGACAGCAGUUAAAAAAGGAUUUAUCACCUAGGAAUACAUGUGAUAAGAUCUCUCUGAUUUUGCAAACAGCUUUCUGUCCAAACGACUCACUGGCCAGAACAUUUUCGUGUAUUCGGAAGGAAGUGUUUUCCUCGCCAACAGCUGUUGCUCCAGGAGGUGAAAAGAAGCACCUGUUAUCUUCUGAAGGCAUCAUAAAAAAAAAAAAAAAAAAAAAAAAGAAAAAAAAAAAAAAGAAAAACACUGGGCCUUGAGGGUCAGGAGAACUCCAGAAGGCAGAAAAGAUCUGGUUUGGAGAACAACCCCAAGGAAGAAAACAGAUCUACCCCAGCUCCUCACAAAUGACUCAUGCAGGGUGUGGCCUUGCUGGAACCUCUUCGUUUACUCUUCCAUAGACAGAAGCUCAUGUUGUGAUUUAUCUGCCUUUUAGCUGAGAAGAGAAGCGGCAUAGAUGCUAUCUGAUACCCAGUUCCAUCCUAGUGCAGUUAAAGGAAACAACUCUGCUAAGGAUAUUAGAGGGGAAUUCCUCUACCGAUGACAACAUGAGAAAAACAUUAUCUUAAUAUUAAUCUUAUCUUCAAAAGCUUAUGCUGCUAUUUUUUUGAAAACUGAGACUUGGACCAUUUAUCUAGUGCAACUAAAUGGAUUCGAUUAGAAACUGUAGACAUGUCAAAAUACUCUAGUCCUCCAGGAAAUGUCACCCUUACACGUAAAGCUGCCAUGUUCCACAUGAAGCCAUUUCCAGAGGAAUGCUAAACACCAUUACAGUACAAUUCCAUUCAGCUCAACAUUUUCAGUGAGGCGAUUUCCACUGCAUACAGUUCAGUAUGAUCCCUCAAAAACGACCACCUCAAAGUCUGACAUGAAAAAUUAAAAUGUCACAUGUUUUCCAUCAAGGUGCAAUAGAGACAAAAAAAGCCUCUUUGUGGCAGCAGGUUUCUGUAAAAUCUAUCUUUAUUUGAAAAAGAAAAAAAAAAAAAGCAUACUGUCUUUUUCUGGGCACGUUCUUAUUCCCACCUGAACUCCCUGUUGGGCUCAGGCUACAUUUUAUAGGAACAGCAACAUACCAGUGUUGUACCCUGGCAGCCAAAAGAGCUGGGCCAACCUUUGGAAAGAGUUUCAGCUGUCAGAUACGGUUGGACUAGAUCUUCUUGUAGGUCCUUUCCAACCUUGUGAAUCUAUGAUUCUAUGAUACCUGCAGUGAAGCUUGGGUUCGCAGGAGAAAUUGUGAGUGGUGUGGAGCCAGACUGGCUGCUGAUGAAAACUAUAUUUUCUUCAUCUGAUUGUUUUCUCUUUGCAUUUCAAAAUUCGUUUCUUACUCACAUUGCUCUUCAGUAGAGGAUGCCUAGACUUCUUUUCAUUUUUUACAUCUUAGUUCUGACAGAGAAGGAAGGACCGAGUAAUGCUGAUCACAGACAUGGAUUUUGACUUCAUUUUGCACAAUUAAAUUAAUUUCCUUUUAAAAUUCAUCAUCACCCAUGGUUGUUUGUUGGGUUUUUUUUUUUUUUUUUUUUCCAUAGGGAUGCCAGACAUUUCAAACAUUUGACCUAAAUGUUUCAAGAUUCAUCAUGCAAAAUAGCAAUUCGCUACAUGGUCUCCCUCCUCUUCUGUAGAGGAGUAGCAGCAGUAGCCAUAGGCCUCACCUGUUCCAACAAAUAGCUGCUGUAGGUGUGGAAGCUUUCCUUGUAGCUGCAGGCGUACAAAGAAGUUUUGGGUGGUACCCCUAAGCUCCUGGGUACCAUUGCACUAGAUAAGGUGCACAGGGAAUAGAUCUGAAGCGCUACCCAGUGCCCCACUGUGCAACAUCUAAAAUGUCACAGUUUGCAAAAAUGACAACAUGCCUUCUCUCGGGUAUACAAGCGCCCUUUCUGCUAAUCCACAGCACCAGUGCUGUAACCGUGGCAGCAGACAACCAGCUCAGUACCAGCAGCAGCCACAAACAUGCAAAGCACACAAGGGCCGCUUGGCUCUGCUGCUGAGGUGGGUGUUAGCCCAGGCUGAGCAAUCUGCUCCCACAGAGGCAGCUGAGGUGGGCAUGUAAAGCUCCUCAGGUACUACAGGUACAGGGCACGGUGCCCGGAGCGGGUAGGCUUUCAGCUGCAGACCUCAGUCCCUCAGUAGUCAUACAGCAAGGCUGAGGAAGCAGGGGAAAUAAAAAUCGGCAUGCUACAAACAUGUAUUCACAUGCACGCGCAGCCAGCCUCCACGCUGCCGCUGCUGUGGUAUCUGGUCGUCAUUUCCAAUGUGUAGCAACAGUGUAAAAUGUACAGGCAAAGUAGUUUGCAACAUUAACAUGAAACCCAAACCAGCGGUCCCCCCAUCCUCUGGAGAAAUGCGUACCUCCACUUGUGUGAAAAGGUUCACUGGGCUCACUCAGAUCUGUGAGCAGGUCAGAACACUGAGAUUCCUUGUAAUAAAUACACCUAAAGCACUCUGAAUCAAAGAUGCUACCAAGAUCUCCAGCUACUUUCUGGAAUCCACAGGAAAACAAAACAAAACAAAACAAAUCAAAGCAGUUCUUUACUGCUGGGAGCAGAGAAACUCACAGAACAGUUUCUCCUAAGCCCACAGAGUUUCCAGUCGGAGUCCCGGCGAUAGUCCUGCGCCACAGCAGGUCCGCAGGGAGCCGCACCAGCUCUGGGGACGGAUGGCACACCGCCCGACGCCAGCCUACCUCACAGACGGGGUCGCCACCACCGCAGCCCGGAGGUGAGGUCCUCCCGCAGGCACAAGGCUCGGGGCGAGCGCUCGGACGGGCUCUCACAGGUGCCGAGGCUCGGGCACAGCCAGCACGCGUGUCCCCUCCUCACGGAGCUCGGCAUGUAUGUCCUCAACAGGAUCCCAGGGGUCUCCGGCCCGCCGAAGCCCUCAGCUGUCACCGGGCGCUGCCUUCGCAGGCUCGGAAGGCUUCCCAAGAACAACUCCUUGGCUGCUUGCUCUCUGCUGGAGAAGUUUUGCGAACUGCAGGGAACGGGACAGGGCUUCGGUCUGAGAAAACUCGCCUACCCCACCUAGAGGUGCGGGGCGACCAGGCGCCCAGCAUCCCCUCCCGUCCGCCUGCUCCUCUCCGGCUGGAUUGGGGUUUUACUCGGGAGUAGCAAAAGAAGUGGCUUCUGCCAGCUCUGUCUUGUAAAGGGGAGGCAGAGCCCGGGGCGUGGAGCAAGGAAACGUUUCUGGAAGGUGUCUGGGAUAGAAGGAACGGGGAGAAAAUCUACUGAUCGAACUGGUUUCCAUCUGCAAAUGCCGACUCCUGUAAGUCCUCUGUUAGCAGAGAGAAAUAUCCCUCACUUCACAGUGCACGUAUUUGUGAAACAACUGUUUUCAAGGAUGAAGCACAGGAAGAGUAAGAUUUCGGCAACAAUCUCUGAUGAACACCUGGAGAGCUCACUGAGGACUGCAGCCACUGCCAUUGAACCUGACUGAUGCAUCAGAGUCACAAAAACAGGGUCAUGUAUCCCACCAGCGUUCUGCUUUUGUUGCUCUCAUUAUUUUAAUGUUUUAAUAAAAAUAUUAAAAAUUAAA
Long non-coding RNA from Gallus gallus (chicken), 7190 nucleotides. RefSeq lists it as uncharacterized. The record is from RefSeq and is a predicted model, not a curated record. Lineage: Eukaryota; Metazoa; Chordata; Aves; Galliformes; Phasianidae. The transcript is spliced from 2 exons.